GGAGAAGUACUCAAGUUGGCUGAAGAGGCGCCCCUGCUAAGGGUGUAGGUCGUUCACGCGGCGCGAGAGUUCAAAUCUCUCCUUCUCCGCCA
This 92-nucleotide transfer RNA is filed under the name Pseudoramibacter sp. Its description in RNAcentral is "tRNA-Ser". It matches the Rfam family "tRNA". From Rfam's summary of the family: Transfer RNA (tRNA) molecules are approximately 80 nucleotides in length. Their secondary structure includes four short double-helical elements and three loops (D, anti-codon, and T loops). Lineage: Bacteria; Bacillati; Bacillota; Clostridia; Eubacteriales; Eubacteriaceae. RNAcentral also lists the same sequence under 2 other names. The record is from RNAcentral.